Molecule: non-coding RNA, 81 nt
Organism: Lentinula guzmanii
Lineage: Eukaryota; Fungi; Basidiomycota; Agaricomycetes; Agaricales; Omphalotaceae
Source: the annotation of a GenBank genome assembly
GGGCAUAUGGUGUAGGGGUUAUCACGUUCGCUUUGCAUGGUUGCAUGCGAAAGGUCUCCGGUUCAAAUCCGGAUUUGUCCA